This 462-nucleotide ribosomal RNA is filed under the name marine sediment bacterium ISA-2714. Its description in RNAcentral is "bacterial SSU rRNA". It matches the Rfam family "Bacterial small subunit ribosomal RNA", at positions 26 to 479 of the family's 1533-position model. The record is from RNAcentral.
AGAUUGAACGCUGGCGGCAGGCCUAACACAUGCAAGUCGAGCGGUAACAUUUCUAGCUUGCUAGAAGAUGACGAGCGGCGGACGGGUGAGUAAUGCUUGGGAACAUGCCUUUAGGUGGGGGACAACAGUUGGAAACGACUGCUAAUACCGCAUAAUGUCUACGGACCAAAGUGGGGGACCUUCGGGCCUCACGCCUAAAGAUUGGCCCAAGUGGGAUUAGCUAGUUGGUGAGGUAAUGGCUCACCAAGGCGACGAUCCCUAGCUGGUUUGAGAGGAUGAUCAGCCACACUGGGACUGAGACACGGCCCAGACUCCUACGGGAGGCAGCAGUGGGGAAUAUUGCACAAUGGGCGCAAGCCUGAUGCAGCCAUGCCGCGUGUGUGAAGAAGGCCUUCGGGUUGUAAAGCACUUUCAGUAAGGAGGAAAGGUUGGAUGUUAAUAGCAUUCAGCUGUGACGUUACU